CCUACGGGAGGCAGCAGUGGGGAAUAUUGGACAAUGGGCGAAAGCCUGAUCCAGCAAUGCCGCGUGAGUGAUGAAGGCCUUAGGGUUGUAAAGCUCUUUUACCCGGGAUGAUAAUGACAGUACCGGGAGAAUAAGCUCCGGCUAACUCCGUGCCAGCAGCCGCGGUAAUACGGAGGGAGCUAGCGUUGUUCGGAAUUACUGGGCGUAAAGCGCACGUAGGCGGCUUUGUAAGUUAGAGGUGAAAGCCUGGAGCUCAACUCCAGAAUUGCCUUUAAGACUGCAUCGCUUGAAUCCAGGAGAGGUGAGUGGAAUUCCGAGUGUAGAGGUGAAAUUCGUAGAUAUUCGGAAGAACACCAGUGGCGAAGGCGGCUC
Molecule: ribosomal RNA, 372 nt
Filed under: uncultured bacterium
Lineage: Bacteria
Description: bacterial SSU rRNA
Rfam family: Bacterial small subunit ribosomal RNA
Source: RNAcentral